This 400-nucleotide ribosomal RNA is filed under the name Odus elachypteryx. RNAcentral describes it as "partial large subunit ribosomal RNA". It matches the Rfam family "Bacterial large subunit ribosomal RNA", at positions 1929 to 2540 of the family's 2925-position model. The record is from RNAcentral. Lineage: Eukaryota; Metazoa; Arthropoda; Insecta; Diptera; Asilidae.
GGCCGCAGAAUUUUAACUGUGCAAAGGUAGCAUAAUCACUAGUUUUUUAAUUGAAAGCUUGAAUGAAUGGUUGGACGAAAUACUAGCUGUUUCACAUUAAAUAUUAGAAUUUUAUUUUUAGGUAAAAAAGCCUAAAUUUUUUUAAAAGACGAGAAGACCCUAUAGAUCUUUAUAGCUUGGCCAUUAUUUUUUAUUAAGAUUUUUUCUAUUAAUAGGGUCUAUGCUAUUUUGCUGGGGUGGCAGAUGAAUUUGUUUAACUUUUUUUAUGUUUUAUACAUUUAUUUAUGGUGUUAUUGAUCCUUUCUAAGAUUAAAAAUUUAAGUUACCUUAGGGAUAACAGCGUAAUCUUUUCGGAGAGUUCAUAUUGAUGAAAGGGGUUGCGACCUCGAUGUUGGAUUAA